Molecule: ribosomal RNA, 408 nt
Filed under: uncultured bacterium
Lineage: Bacteria
Description: partial 16S ribosomal RNA
Rfam family: Bacterial small subunit ribosomal RNA
Source: RNAcentral
GACGAACGCUGGCGGCGUGCCUAACACAUGCAAGUCGAACGGAGUGGCGAACGGGGGAGUAACACGUGGGGGAUCUGCCUUGCACUUCGGGAUAAGCUUGGGAAACUGGGUCUAAUACCGGAUAUGGCAAGAUGAGCUCGCGGCCUAACAGCUUGUUGGUGGGGUAAUGGCCUACCAAGGCGUCGACGGGUAGCCGGCCUGAGAGGGUGUACGGCGACAUUGGGACUGAGAUACGGCCCAGACUCCUACGGGAGGCAGCAGUGGGGAAUAUUGCACAAUGGGCGGAAGCCUGAUGCAGCGACGCCGGGUUGGGGAUGAAGGCUUUCGGGUUGUAAACUCCUUUCGACAGGGACGCGGUACCUGUAUAAGAAGCACCGGCUAACUACGUGCCAGCAGCCGCGGUAAUAC